This 450-nucleotide ribosomal RNA is filed under the name uncultured bacterium. Its description in RNAcentral is "partial 16S ribosomal RNA". It matches the Rfam family "Bacterial small subunit ribosomal RNA", at positions 354 to 796 of the family's 1533-position model. The record is from RNAcentral.
GUGGGGAAUAUUGGACAAUGGGCGAAAGCCUGAUCCAGCCAUGCCGCGUGUGUGAAGAAGGUCUUCGGAUUGUAAAGCACUUUAAGUUGGGAGGAAGGGCAGUAAGUUAAUACCUUGCUGUUUUGACGUUACCGACAGAAUAAGCACCGGCUAACUUCGUGCCAGCAGCCGCGGUAAUACGAAGGGUGCAAGCGUUAAUCGGAAUUACUGGGCGUAAAGCGCGCGUAGGUGGUUUUGUAAGUUGGAGGUGAAAUCCCCGGGCUCAACCUGGGAACUGCCUCCAAAACUGCAUGACUAGAGUACGGUAGAGGGUAGUGGAAUUUCCUGUGUAGCGGUGAAAUGCGUAGAUAUAGGAAGGAACACCAGUGGCGAAGGCGACUACCUGGACUGAUACUGACACUGAGGUGCGAAAGCGUGGGGAGCAAACAGGAUUAGAUACACCUGUAGUCC